Astatotilapia calliptera (eastern happy) is the source of this 1829-nucleotide long non-coding RNA. The record is from Ensembl. NCBI's taxonomy places the organism in Eukaryota, Metazoa, Chordata, Actinopteri, Cichliformes, Cichlidae.
AUCACAUUCUUCGAACACACUCCGACCACCUUGCCAAUGGACGAUGCAGCGGAUCGAUUAGGACACAAAAAUCUGUAAGGUGAGACUGACUAUAUACUUUAAUAUCUUUGAAAAUAAUCAUAUAAAAUAUUCAUGUUAGAUGUCUACUUGUUUUUACAGCUUAACAGUAGAUAUGUUAAUGCUUAUUCCUUAUAAUCCACAACAAUGCUAUCUAUUUAUAAGGAAUAUUCUGAUAGUGUUUAAUUUCUUCUACUAGAGAAAACAACAUUUUGUAUUUUUUUAAACUUUUGUUUUAAAUAAACCGAUUGUCAUGGUCCGCAGUCUCCUUGGUUGUUUGUGUUUAUUAAUAUUCAUUGUGUCAGUUAGUUUCCUAGUUAUUUGUUAAUUAUUUCCAGUGUUUAGGUGUUCUCUGUACCUCCCUUGUCUUCAGUGUAUUGUCCCUGGUUCGAUAUUCGUGUUUAUUCCUGUUUUACUUUGAUAGUCCCUGCCCUGCAUCGGUGUAUUCUGUUUUGCUUCCUCCUGGUCUCUUCUCAUCUGAUUAGUGUCAGCUGUGUUUUGUGCCUGUCUGCCAAUUCCUCGUUUCCUUUUGUGUGUGUAUAUUUAGUGUGUUCUUUGUCGGAUCGUCUGUAUUCUCUCCUGUGUUAUCAUCUGUGUUCCCUCCCUGAUGUUUUCAUGUCUUAUGUUCCUUGUUCAAGGUUGUAAGGUUUUUGCAACAUUUUCCAUGUUUCCUGUGUUCUUUAGUUUAGCUUUCCCAUUUUAGGUUUUUGAGGAUUUUUCAAGGCUUUUAAACUACAGUUAAGCUGCCAAAUAGCAAUGAGCAUUAAAUGAAUAUCCAUUUAUUAAACUCAGCUUGAAAACAUGCAUAUUUUAGAGUAAAUUAUAAAAUGCAGUAUAUUUCUGACAUUAAAUUUUUUUAGAAAUUAUCAGUGUACCUUGUAUUUAAUUUCCUUAUCCGCAACUAGUCAAUUAAUCAACCAAUCUCAAUUGCAGUUCUAGGAGGGAACCCUCAUCAGCAGUGAACAGAAAUCUGAGUAACAUGUGGGCAUACAGGACUGAUUCAGUGGUGGAAAGCCAGCCAACAAUGAUAUGAUAUGAGAUUCCAUUCCAUAUUACAGUUUCACACACAAAGAUAUGACAUGUGCGGUCAUGAAAUAUUACCUGGGUGAUGUAAUUGGACUACACGUGAGCUCAACAUAUGUUUUAUAAAAGGUACACUGCUUUACAUGCAUGAACUGUAUUUUCAGGUUAUUGUUUUGGACAGUUUUGUGACAAUUUUUAAAAUGAAGUUGUUGUUUUCCUAUCAAUUCUGACAGUUGAAUGCAAUUUUAGCAUUGCCAUAGUAUAGAUAUACUGAUGCUGAUCUAUUAUUCUGUUUGACAUGGCCUAAAGUGAAUGAGUUGUGCUGUUUCUGUUUUUCAAAUGGGCCUGUAUUUCAUGUUUACCAUGUGCUUUUAGUUCCUGCCUUUGUUCAUAUACUGCAUAUUGUGUCAAACUUGACAGCAAUUAUAUUAAACUUUAGUGUCAAUAAAUACAUUUCUUAAACUGAGCAGCUGUUUAAAUGCCCUUACUCUUGAAAUGAGAAAAAUAAUCUUAUUUUUAUUCUGGAAAUUCAACCAAACCAUUGUCAUGCCUUGUAACUGGUAAAUAAAGCUCAAGAUGAGCUGAAAUAUCCUUUUAAGGAAAAGUUAGACAUAUUUUCCUAGAAUAAGCUUUAUUUUCUUGUCUAAAACUUGCUUGUUAAGAAUAUAUUUUCUUUUUAGGCAAAAAAUAAGAAAAAAUGUCCAUAAACAAGGUUUUUUUUACUUUCUUGAAAAUCGUUUUUUGCAGUG